Molecule: long non-coding RNA, 996 nt
Filed under: Hordeum vulgare
Lineage: Eukaryota; Viridiplantae; Streptophyta; Magnoliopsida; Poales; Poaceae
Description: long non-coding RNA (HVUL_LNC009182)
Source: RNAcentral
UAGGCAUCAUAUACAUAAAAAUAGCUUAAAAAUGCUGGUAUACAAUAGAGAAUACGUGCAGUGUUUGAACUGGGCCUGUCUUGUCGUUUUUAUGCAGUUUGGGCUAUACUCUUGUCUCUUGGGGAGUACGUGAAUUACGUGGGCCACUAAGGCCUAGUUAGAUUGUGAGAGAAUUAGAAGUAUCUGAAUCCAUCAGCUUCCUGUUCGUGUGCGUACCUAGGCGAGACGAAGUCCUGGACGUGACGCUGUGAGUCCGUGACCUAGGAACUGCUGCGCCGCUGCUACUCCUAGCCGGCGAGCCGGCGAGGCAAACUGCCGGAUUAUCAUCGGACAGGUCGGCAGAAAGAUCGCAAGGCCGCACGAGAAGCGCCAGCGAACACUCAACCUGUGCAAGGCCAUGGUGAAGUGGCAUCUAAUAGCAGUCUACCACCAACAAGUAGGGCUAGCGGCAAGCGGCAAUUAGGUGAAUUAAUCUCUCUAUUUUAUCAAGAAAUUGUGCAUUUAAACAUUGAUUGUGUCGGCUCUAAUUAUGCAGUUAUGUUUGUUAAAACUUCAGAGUUGAGCAGAUCUAAUGUAUUUAAUCUCAGUGAAAAAUAUAUAAUUUGGUAAUGUGGCACACGCUUGUAGGUUCUCUUGUGUGCACAACGAUGAACAUUGAAGAUUGGACUAUUAUCGUCAAGACAAAGGUUAGAUUGUGUGUCUAGUGCUUAGCGAGUUAUUUGCUAUUGUAUGUCUUUGUUUUUAUUUACUUCUGUCAUCUAUGAAACAUUAGUGCGUAUAUUGCGCAUACUGUUUAUUCAAAUAUAUGAUACUAGUGAUGUUUGAUAUAUAUAUAUGAAAAAAUCUUUGUUUACAGCGUGCCCAGGCUUUGGCAAUUAGCUAGCUCCGCCACUGAAUAUAAGUACCACUGUACAAGAAAAUGAAAACUGCAUUUUUCAAUGGUAUGCUCUCUUCCAUUCAAAUAACACUCAGUCAGUUAGUAAAAAAUAUAUAAUG